UGUUCAGCCAGUAGCCUGACAGAGACUUCCUUAAAUAGCAGGGAACACUUGUGAAACACUGCCAGGCCUCUUUCACACUGGCUUCACCCUUACCUCCUGUUUGCACAGAGCUCAGGUAUCAGCCAGAGAUCAAGCCUAGGUUCCUCUCAGCUCUUUUCUGAGCCCACAUCCAGCUUUGAGUUUGAAUUCUGUAAUCUGUGCUAUACCAGGUGGCUCCUUUAGACCUUAUUUCCCUAGUUUUUUCCUCCUUAGCCUUCUUCCCAGGAUUUUUAAUCCAUUUCUUGCUCUACUCCUGCCGUACUCCUGCCUGCCAUCUGCAAUCCUUUGCCCCAUGUUACAGAUAUGACAUGAAUUAUCUGAAUUUAUGAAGUUACAAAGUUGCAAGUAACUCCUCAAAACACUUUAUUUCUAUCUCACAAGGAAAAGAAGAAGAAGAAAGAAAACCUCCAGCUUGAACAGACUAUUUCCCAGUUGGCAUAUUAGAAAUGGCUUCAUUUCUGAGAGAUGACAAAGUUAAUCCUGUUUUGAGUUAUAUUGGAUGAAAAUGGCAUUUUGAGCUUGCUUUGCAUUUACUGAAUAAGCCAUUGAGUCCAACAUUUACUGAGUGCCAUUAAGUGGAAGACACAGUGUUAGACAUUAAGGUUAUAAAGCAUCUCAUCUAACUUCUUCUUUCAUCUUAAAGAAUUCUGUUCAACUCCAAAGAAAAAGAGACAGAGAAAGGGAGAGCUCCCAUCUGCUGGUUAACACCUCAGAUAUCCACAAUGACCUGGACUAAAACCCGGAGCCAGGAAUGAAAUCCAGGUCUACCAUGUGAGUGGCAAGAUCCUCAUUACUUGAACCAUCACCACUACCUUCCAGGGUCUUCAUUAUCAGGAAGUCAGGAAUUGGAGUCAGGAGUUGGAGCUGAGAACUGAACCCAGGUGGAAGUUCACGACAACUGGAAGCCAAGCACAGAGAAGGGGGAGAGGUUGAUGGAGAACUGCAUGGAGACCAGAAUGCAUAACACUUCUAAUGCCAUGUUGUGGAGUUGGUGAGUAGUAAGUGACUGUUUCCACGCAGUCACCUCUGCGGACUUAGUGUGUGAGGUCCUAACAUGGGACAUCUGGACUUGACACUGAUGUGUCUACAGGACAGAGGAGAGCACCUGACCCCUUGUCUCAGUAAGGAGGCCAGCCGAGGGAGGGGGUUUUGAAGUCAGGAAGAACAUAAGAUGAGCAGAGAAAGGAUGGGAAAUAGAAAAUACUGGAUAAAUGCUACCUGUUAUUAAAAGGCCAACCUGCUAAUGUGUUUUAAAACACUCAGGUGUCACAUCUCUGUUCCGUAUAUGUAUAAUGGGGAUACUAAUGCUUCCUACUAAUAGCGUAGUUGGAUUGCACAUGUUACAUAGCUUCCCCACAUUUAUACAUUUAGUGAAUAUCUGAGGCUGGCUGUGGGACCAAGGGGUUUGACGACAAAGCCCAGGCUCAUAUGCGAUUACACUGUACAACCAUCCUUACCAAGGAAUGGAGU
Oryctolagus cuniculus (rabbit) is the source of this 1509-nucleotide non-coding RNA. The record is from RefSeq and is a predicted model, not a curated record. NCBI's taxonomy places the organism in Eukaryota, Metazoa, Chordata, Mammalia, Lagomorpha, Leporidae.